This 242-nucleotide ribosomal RNA is filed under the name uncultured bacterium. RNAcentral describes it as "partial 16S ribosomal RNA". It matches the Rfam family "Bacterial small subunit ribosomal RNA", at positions 524 to 765 of the family's 1533-position model. The record is from RNAcentral.
UACGAAGGGGGCUAGCGUUGCUCGGAAUUACUGGGCGUAAAGCGCACGUAGGCGGCUUUUUAAGUCGGAGGUGAAAUCCUGGAGCUCAACUCCAGAACUGCCUUCGAUACUGAAGAGCUCGAGUCCGGGAGAGGUGAGUGGAACUGCGAGUGUAGAGGUGAAAUUCGUAGAUAUUCGCAAGAACACCAGUGGCGAAGGCGGCUCACUGGCCCGGUACUGACGCUGAGACGCGAAAGCGUGGG